Fundulus heteroclitus (mummichog) is the source of this 394-nucleotide long non-coding RNA. RefSeq lists it as uncharacterized. Lineage: Eukaryota; Metazoa; Chordata; Actinopteri; Cyprinodontiformes; Fundulidae. The record is from RefSeq and is a predicted model, not a curated record. The transcript is spliced from 3 exons.
CACAGGUAUACACAACACAUCUGGCAAUAGACAUUCAGAUCACCAGGAUCCAAACGUAAGCCUGACACCUUGCAAAGAUGAAAAGAGUCAGUGCUGUAGUUGCAGUGGCUGUUGUCCUCACACUUAUUGCCACUCAGAAGAGCUCUGCUGCUCCACUCACUGAGGUGACGGCGAAGGACGAGCCAGUGAGCUUUGCCAGUGAAGCUGCUGCACAAGAAGAAACCUCGGCAGAACUGCUGGAGAUGCAGUUGAACCACAGACAGAAGCGUGAAGUCAGAUGCAUCCCUUACUGCAUCCCAAAAGAUGGCGGAGUCUUUUGUGGAGUUACUUGCACUUUUUAACGCCAAACAUAAAUAUGCAUUUGCUAUGCAUUUCUCUUCAAAAUAAAAGAUAC